RNAcentral lists this ribosomal RNA (467 nucleotides) under uncultured bacterium. RNAcentral's name for it is "partial 16S ribosomal RNA". It matches the Rfam family "Bacterial small subunit ribosomal RNA", at positions 28 to 507 of the family's 1533-position model. The record is from RNAcentral.
GACGAACGCUGGCGGCGUGCUUAACACAUGCAAGUCGAACGGAAAGGCCUCUUUCGGGGGGUACUCGAGUGGCGAACGGGUGAGUAACACGUGAGUAACCUGCCCUUGACUUUGGGAUAACUUCAGGAAACUGGGGCUAAUACCGGAUAGGAGCUCCUGCUGCAUGGUGGGGGUUGGAAAGUUUCGGCGGUUGGGGAUGGACUCGCGGCUUAUCAGCUUGUUGGUGGGGUAGUGGCUUACCAAGGCUUUGACGGGUAGCCGGCCUGGGAGGGUGACCGGCCACAUUGGGACUGGGAUACGGCCCAGACGCCUACGGGAGGCAGCAGUGGGGAAUAUUGCACAAGGGGUGGAAGCCUGAUGCAGCAACGCCGUGUGCGGGAUGACGGCCUUCGGGUUGUAAACCGCUUUCGCUCAUGACGAAGCUUUGUGUGACGGUAGUGGGUAAAGAAGCACCGGCUAACUACGUG